This is a small nuclear RNA of Erinaceus europaeus (western European hedgehog), 164 nucleotides long. Its record names the gene U1. It matches the Rfam family "U1 spliceosomal RNA". From Rfam's summary of the family: U1 is a small nuclear RNA (snRNA) component of the spliceosome (involved in pre-mRNA splicing). Its 5' end forms complementary base pairs with the 5' splice junction, thus defining the 5' donor site of an intron. The record is from Ensembl. Lineage: Eukaryota; Metazoa; Chordata; Mammalia; Eulipotyphla; Erinaceidae.
UUAUUACCAUGUCAAGAGCAAAAUACCAUGAUUGUGAUAGUGGUUUUCCCAGAGCAAGGCUCUUCCAUUAUACUCUGGUGUGCUGACCCCCUCCAAUUUCCUGUACUGCGGGAAACACAGUUGCAUAGUUUAUGGGAAUGGGGGACUGUGUUCACUAACCUGAA